Molecule: ribosomal RNA, 847 nt
Filed under: Paramunida spica
Lineage: Eukaryota; Metazoa; Arthropoda; Malacostraca; Decapoda; Munididae
Description: partial 16S ribosomal RNA
Rfam family: Bacterial large subunit ribosomal RNA (bases 724-847)
Source: RNAcentral
UUAAACUAAGAGUAUAAGGGUAGAGCUUUAUACUCAAAAAUUAAUUAAAGAUGAUUAAAUGAAAUAAUGGUUUAUAAAUUAGGUCUUAUAGUGGCCAUAUUUUUAAAGUGUUUAAACUAUUAAAAUAAAAAAAAUUUUAUUUUUACUCUCUUAUAAGUAAAUAAUAGAACAAAUUUUGUAUCAAAAGUAGAUUAGAGAUAAUGAAAAUAUUAGUAGAUAAAUAAUUAUUAUAAUUAAAUAAAUAGAUUUAAUAAAUAAUUUUUAAUAAAAUUAAAUAAAAGUUAGAGGAAUUCAGCAAAUUUUUUUCUUGCCUGUUUAACAAAAACAUGUCUAUAUGAAGUUAUAUAAAGUCUGGCCUGCCCGUUGAAGAAAUUUGAAAGGCCGCGGUAUAUUAACUGUGCAAAGGUAGCAUAAUCAUUAGCUUUUUAAUUGAAGGCUUGUAUGAAGGGUCUGACAAAGAAAAAGCUGUCUUUAAUUUUAUUUUUGAAUUUAACUUUUAAGUGAAAAGGCUUAGUUGAGUUUAAGGGACGAUAAGACCCUAUAAAUCUUUAUAUUAAAUUAUUAUCUUGGAUUUUAAUUAUUUUGUCUAGAUUUUUAAGUAAAAUAAUAAAUAUUUUGUUGGGGUGACAAGAAUAUAAGAAUAACUGUUCAUAAUUAAAACAAAGUUGUUUGAAUAAAAGUUAUAGAUCCUUUUUAUAGAUUAAGAGAUUAAGUUACUUUAGGGAUAACAGCGUUAUUUUUUUUGAGAGUUCUUAUCGAAAAAAAAGUUUGCGACCUCGAUGUUGAAUUAAAAUUUCUCUAUGGUGUAGAAGCUGUAGAAGAAAGUCUGUUCGACUUUUGAAAUUUU